This 65-nucleotide transfer RNA is filed under the name Modiolus nipponicus. RNAcentral describes it as "tRNA-Trp". It matches the Rfam family "tRNA". Rfam says of the family: Transfer RNA (tRNA) molecules are approximately 80 nucleotides in length. Their secondary structure includes four short double-helical elements and three loops (D, anti-codon, and T loops). Further hydrogen bonds mediate the characteristic L-shaped molecular structure. tRNAs have two regions of fundamental functional importance: the anti-codon, which is responsible for specific mRNA codon recognition, and the 3' end, to which the tRNAs corresponding amino acid is attached (by aminoacyl-tRNA synthetases). tRNAs cope with the degeneracy of the genetic code in two manners: having more than one tRNA (with a specific anti-codon) for a particular amino acid; and 'wobble' base-pairing, i.e. permitting non-standard base-pairing at the 3rd anti-codon position. Lineage: Eukaryota; Metazoa; Mollusca; Bivalvia; Mytilida; Modiolidae. RNAcentral also lists the same sequence under 1 other name. The record is from RNAcentral.
AUAAAAGUAAUUUAGUUAAAAUAUUGGGUUUCAAACCUAAAAAUGCAGAAGUUUUGCCUUUUAUG